RNAcentral lists this transfer RNA (73 nucleotides) under Phrynoderma karaavali. RNAcentral's name for it is "tRNA-Asn". Lineage: Eukaryota; Metazoa; Chordata; Amphibia; Anura; Dicroglossidae. The record is from RNAcentral.
UAGAAAGAAGCUCGCUGGAUAGAGUUUUUAGCUGUUAACUAAAGUUUUGCGGGAUCGAGGCCCGCCUUUCUAG